RNAcentral lists this non-coding RNA (936 nucleotides) under Crossodactylodes izecksohni (Izecksohn's bromeliad frog). RNAcentral describes it as "partial 12S ribosomal RNA". It matches the Rfam family "Bacterial small subunit ribosomal RNA". The record is from RNAcentral. Lineage: Eukaryota; Metazoa; Chordata; Amphibia; Anura; Leptodactylidae.
CAAAGGUUUGGUCCUAGCCUUAGGGUCAAUUAUUACUUAACAUACACAUGCAAGUAUCUGCACUCCUGUGAAAACGCCCUUAAACUUCCCCUAGAAAUAAGGAGCUGGUAUCAGGCACGAAAAUCUGCCCAAAACACCUAGCUACGCCACACCCACAAGGGACUUCAGCAGUGAUUAAUAUUGAACAUAAGCGUCAGCUUGACUCAGUUAAAGUAAAAAGAGCCGGCAAAUCUGGUGCCAGCCGCCGCGGUUACACCACGUGACUCAAAUUGACCCUUUUCGGCGUAAAGCGUGAUUAAAGUCAUUCACAAUUAGAGUUAAACCCUAACUAAGCUGUGACACGCUUGUGCGUGGGAAAACCAAAAACGAAAGUUACUCCAAUUUAUUCAACUUGAACUCACGACAGCUGGGAAACAAACUGGGAUUAGAUACCCCACUAUGCCCAGCCGUAAACUUUUAAUUACAACCAUUUCGCCCGGGAACUACGAGCUAAGCUUAAAACCCAAAGGACUUGACGGUACCCCACAUCCACCUAGAGGAGCCUGUCCUAUAAUCGAUAACCCCCGUUUAACCUCACCAUCUUUAGCCUAUCAGCCUGUAUACCUCCGUCGUCAGCUUACCACGUGAGCGAUAUAAGUGAGCUUAAUGCCCAUACGCCAACACGUCAGGUCAAGGUGCAGCAAAUAAGAUGGGAAGAGAUGGGCUACACUUUCUAACUUAGAACAUACGAAAGACUACUUAUGAAACCCCUAGUCAGAAGGCGGAUUUAGAAGUAAAAAGAGAUCAGUAAAACUCUUUUUAACCCGGCACUGGGGUGUGUACACACCGCCCGUCACCCUCUUCAAGGCCUACAAGUAGUUCUUAACUAAACCCAUUGCCACAUAGAAGAGGCAAGUCGUAACAUGGUAAGUAUACCGGAAGGUAUGCUUGGGACAA